Molecule: long non-coding RNA, 368 nt
Filed under: Pelobates cultripes (western spadefoot toad)
Lineage: Eukaryota; Metazoa; Chordata; Amphibia; Anura; Pelobatidae
Source: RNAcentral
GGUCUGCCUGCUGCUUUUCCAUUAUGUAUUCGUGGACAUCUGCCAUAAUCCUUUCCAAGGUUUCUGUGGGAGGCGUACCUGGGAAAAAGGCCAAUCUGCUUUGGAGUUCUCUUCCAAACUCCGUUUGUGUGCUGUCCAUAAGAGGUGCUGCAGCAGCUGCCCGGUCUCCCUCCAUGAGUUCAGCAAUAAGGGUAGCUUUGAUUUUAUUGCUGGCAAUAAUUCCCCUUGCUUCCAAUAGUUCUUUUAGCGUGGCCCGUUUCAAGUUGGUAUAGUCUGUCCCCAUUCACUAUCCGUUCGGGUAUAUUCACAUACCCUUUCCUUUCGGUUCCAUACGAAAUAGCAAAUUUCCCAAAUGGCUGUAACUGCCG